This 105-nucleotide non-coding RNA is filed under the name Paramoeba aestuarina. The record is from RNAcentral. Lineage: Eukaryota; Discosea; Flabellinia; Dactylopodida; Paramoebidae.
UCUUCUUCUUCUUCUUCUUCUCUUGAAGAGGAUGACCCAGACAGAGAACUUCCUUACUACGAUCGUGAAUUUGCUGGCCAAACUCACUACAAUUUUGGGGGAGAA